UACGGAGGGAGCUAGCGUUGUUCGGAAUUACUGGGCGUAAAGCGCGCGUAGGCGGCUUUUUAAGUCAGAGGUGAAAGCCCGGGGCUCAACCCCGGAAUUGCCUUUGAAACUGGAAAGCUAGAAUCUUGGAGAGGUCAGUGGAAUUCCGAGUGUAGAGGUGAAAUUCGUAGAUAUUCGGAAGAACACCAGUGGCGAAGGCGACUGACUGGACAAGUAUUGACGCUGAGGUGCGAAAGCGUGGGGAGCAAAC
RNAcentral lists this ribosomal RNA (250 nucleotides) under uncultured bacterium. RNAcentral describes it as "partial 16S ribosomal RNA". It matches the Rfam family "Bacterial small subunit ribosomal RNA", at positions 524 to 773 of the family's 1533-position model. RNAcentral also lists the same sequence under 1 other name. The record is from RNAcentral.